Molecule: ribosomal RNA, 805 nt
Filed under: uncultured bacterium
Lineage: Bacteria
Description: bacterial SSU rRNA
Rfam family: Bacterial small subunit ribosomal RNA
Source: RNAcentral
AGAGUUUGAUCCUGGCUCAGGACGAACGCUGGCGGCGUGCCUAAUACAUGCAAGUCGAGCGAAUCUUGAGGUGCUUGCACCUCUUGGUUAGCGGCGGACGGGUGAGUAACACGUGGGCAACCUGCCUGUAAGACUGGGAUAACUUCGGGAAACCGGAGCUAAUACCGGAUAAUCCUUUUCCUCUCAUGAGGAAAAGCUGAAAGUCGGUUUCGGCUGACACUUACAGAUGGGCCCGCGGCGCAUUAGCUAGUUGGUGAGGUAACGGCUCACCAAGGCGACGAUGCGUAGCCGACCUGAGAGGGUGAUCGGCCACACUGGGACUGAGACACGGCCCAGACUCCUACGGGAGGCAGCAGUAGGGAAUCUUCCGCAAUGGACGAAAGUCUGACGGAGCAACGCCGCGUGAGCGAUGAAGGCCUUCGGGUCGUAAAGCUCUGUUGUUAGAGAAGAACAAGUACCGGAGUAACUGCCGGUACCUUGACGGUACCUAACCAGAAAGCCACGGCUAACUACGUGCCAGCAGCCGCGGUAAUACGUAGGUGGCAAGCGUUGUCCGGAAUUAUUGGGCGUAAAGCGCGCGCAGGCGGUCCUUUAAGUCUGAUGUGAAAGCCCACGGCUCAACCGUGGAGGGUCAUUGGAAACUGGGGGACUUGAGUACAGAAGAGGAAAGCGGAAUUCCACGUGUAGCGGUGAAAUGCGUAGAGAUGUGGAGGAACACCAGUGGCGAAGGCGGCUUUCUGGUCUGUAACUGACGCUGAGGNNCGAAAGCGUGGGGAGCAAACAGGAUUAGAUACCCUAGUAGUCC